CCUACGGGUGGCUGCAGUGGGGAAUAUUGGGCAAUGGGCGCAAGCCUGACCCAGCAACGCCGCGUGAAGGAAGAAGGCUUUCUGGUUGUAAACCUCUUUUGUCAGGGACGAAACAUGUGCCGGUACCUGACGAUUAAGCUACCGCUAAAUACGUGCCAGCAGCCGCGGUACUACGUAGGUGGCAAUCGUUAUCCGGAUUUAUUGGGUGUAAAGGGCGUGUAGGCGGCAUUGGAAGUCAGCUGUGAAAAGUAUGGGCUCAACCCAUAGCCUGCAUGUGAAGCUGUAUGUCUUGAGUGCUUGAGAGGCAAUCGGAAUUCGGUGUGUAGCGGUGAAAUGCGUAGAUAUAAGGAGGAACACCAGUGGCGAAGGCGGAUUGCUGGACAGUAACUGACGCUGAGGCGCGAAAGUGUGGGGAGCAAACAGGAUUAGAUACCCCAGUAGUC
Molecule: ribosomal RNA, 443 nt
Filed under: uncultured bacterium
Lineage: Bacteria
Description: partial 16S ribosomal RNA
Rfam family: Bacterial small subunit ribosomal RNA
Source: RNAcentral